This 427-nucleotide ribosomal RNA is filed under the name Vuilleminia comedens. Its description in RNAcentral is "partial large subunit ribosomal RNA". Lineage: Eukaryota; Fungi; Basidiomycota; Agaricomycetes; Corticiales; Vuilleminiaceae. The record is from RNAcentral.
UUUUGUGAACGCCCUUAAGUCAGAAUCCGUGCUAGAAACGACGAUGUUGGUCCCGCACAUUUUAGUUGUGUCAAAAUAGAGCUUUGCUCGUGAACCAAAUUAGGUGGGCUGGACGGACUUGGCGGAAAUGCUUUGUUCGUUUGCCUGCGAAUCGAAAUCAUCAUAUGCGCGGGGGUGAAUCCUUUGCAGACGACUUGAAUGGGAACGGGGUACUGUAAGCAGUAGAGUAGCCUUGUUGCUACGAUCUGCUGAGGUUAAGCCCUUGUUCUAAAGAUUUGUUCAACCACCGGUUGGACUCUUCUCUUUUCUUUCACGUCCUGAGACCUUAGGGCAGGCGCACAGUUGGACUUGUGCGAUCCCGGGGCACGGCGUGUAAGAGAACGAGAGAGAUCAGUCAGUUACUUGACUGGUCAGCAUUGAUACMUMA